AUUGAACGCUGGCGGCAGGCCUAACACAUGCAAGUCGAGCGGAUGAAGGGAGCUUGCUCCUGGAUUCAGCGGCGGACGGGCGAGUAAUGCCUAGGAAUCUGCCUGGUCGUGGGGGAUAACGUCAGGACACGGGCGCUAAUACAGCAUACGUCCUGAGGGUGAAAGUGGGGGAUCUUCGGACCUCACGCUAUCAGAUGAGCCUAGGUCGGAUUAGCUAGUUGGUGGGGUAAAGGCCUACCAAGGCGACGAUCCGUAACUGGUCUGAGAGGCUGAUCAGUCACACUGGAACUGAGACACGGUCCAGACUCCUACGGGAGGCAGCAGUGGGGAAUAUUGGACAAUGGGCGAAAGCCUGAUCCAGCCAUGCCGCGUGUGUGAAGAAGGUCUUCGGAUUGUAAAGCACUGUAAGUUGGGAGGAAGGGCAGUAAGUUAAUACCUGGCUGUUUUGACGGUACCAACAGAAUAAGCACCGGCUAACUUCGUG
RNAcentral lists this ribosomal RNA (484 nucleotides) under uncultured bacterium. RNAcentral's name for it is "partial 16S ribosomal RNA". It matches the Rfam family "Bacterial small subunit ribosomal RNA", at positions 30 to 507 of the family's 1533-position model. The record is from RNAcentral.